This 390-nucleotide long non-coding RNA is filed under the name Homo sapiens (human). Its description in RNAcentral is "long non-coding RNA NONHSAT006217.2". The record is from RNAcentral. Lineage: Eukaryota; Metazoa; Chordata; Mammalia; Primates; Hominidae.
GGAUCACUUCCAAAACCACUUGGCCUUCAGCCCCUGCCUCGGCCAGAGGUUUCAUUUUUAACUGAAUAUUUACGAAAGCUGAAAGCGUGCGAGGGGGGUGGGGUGGAAAUAGCGGCUGCUUCUUUUCCAAGGAUUUAUUUAAUGGGGAUGUGUUCAAGGCAAGACCGAAUUCAGAAGGAUAUCGACGUCGUGAUCCAGAAGUCCAGAGCUGAGGACUGCCUGUUUGCAGCUUUAAAUCAUCUAGGAACUUCAUAUAAAAUUUAAUUCCAGUUUCAACUAGUUGUGGAGCAUUUGAUCCAAAAUAAAAUGAAAGUCCUUUCUGAAGCUGUAGAGGAGACUCAAGAAUCAGAACAACCUGAAGUUCUUUAAGCUGUCAGUUGAAGGACUAGG